This is a long non-coding RNA of Eptatretus burgeri (inshore hagfish), 3712 nucleotides long. Lineage: Eukaryota; Metazoa; Chordata; Myxini; Myxiniformes; Myxinidae. The record is from Ensembl.
UCUUCUUGUUCUUGUUCUUGUUCUUCUGGUGAAGACAAAACCUUUAGCACGCGCCUCUUGGACACAUGUGUCCUUGUUGUUUCUCGUUUAUAUUCUGGUGCAGUGUUCGUGUACCAUGACGGUAUAGGUAGUGGCAGUGACGUAGCAAUAACUUCCGUUGCCAAUGGUGAUGCUCUUGAUUGCCGCUGGAUAAACAUUGUACGGUGUUAGACAUUUACAAUGGAGUAUUAAAAAGUCAGGAAAUUAAACGCACAGUUUGUAAAAAUGGACAAUUGCACCGUCUCACCUCUGGCUAAGUUAACACUCAGGUACACAUUUGAUUGUAAACAUUUGGAAUUUGCCGAAUUUAAUUUCUAUAUUCGUUUAUACAUUCAGACAAUCUGACAGGCAUAAAUACCACAAGAACAGUUCGACAUAUGUAUAUGUUUAAAAAAAAAAAUCAAUCUGUUAACGCAUUGAAGUGUUGAGUGGUGGGAGCUGUUCUUUGGAUGUGUCCGGGUCUCAUUGAGCUUGGUGUUCAUGAAUGUCGUGCACGCUUUGGGUGAUUUAAGGGUGAGGGUGAUGGUGAGGGCCAUGGCCAGCGUGGAAUGGAACGGCGCGUGAGAAAGUCUUCUGGGAACCGGCGAGCGAGGAAAGCGGGUUUGCGGCCCUGCUCGGGUUUGCGGCCCUGCUCGGGAUUGCGGCCCUGUUCGAGAUUGCAGCCUUGCUUGGGAUUGCGGCCCUGUUCGAGUUUGCGACAUACAGAAGGCCGGUGCCGUCAUGGACACGAGGAACUCGGCACUGCUCGAGGCUUUGGAUAAUGCUGACAGGACGAAAAAUGGAGGAUUUAUACAACCGCUCGAUCUGGAUGACGAUUUUUCAUCCGAAGCCGCUGAAAGACCUGUGAUUUUCUCCAAGGGAGAUGACAAGGGAAAGGGACAUGCUUCCCUACCAAAGCAACUUUCUGUGAACUUCAUCACCCGCUCCCCGCUCACCCGUUCCUCGCGCGCUCGAAGUCCUCCGGGCUUGAGUCCCAGCAGCUCCAAUAUGAGAAGGAACCUGAAGACUUCUGUGACCCCAUGCUUGAACAGCCACCCGCUAGAGCACAAGUCAAGUAUGGGAAGCGCUCUGUUGGUCCGCACUCCCAUCCGUAGUGACAUCGGGAGGUAAGGUGUGCGCGAAGUUCAACAUGGGCUGACAUAUUUAGGAACACUUUAACCUUCAGCAAAUUUUGUGCAGUUGUUAAAGGAAUGUCAUGUGAUUUGCACAUGCUGCCAAUGCAAACAAAUGCUACAGGGUGUAGCUGAGUGUUUCCAUUUUGAACGUGUUUUCCUAAUGCUUAUGUUGAGGUUCCGCUGCUCCUCCUUCGGUUGGUUGUGCCAGCAUCCCUUUCUGCCAAUCUGCAGGGGGAAAAAAAAGACCAAGAAAAAAAACAACUCAUCAUCUUUACAUGCAAUAAAGACCCAUAUUCUCACUCUCCCUCAGCCUGGUGUUGGCGCAGUGGUUCGGGCAGCGGCUUUGGAUCCAAAAGGUCCUGAGUUCAAGCCCUGUUGGGCCACUGAAUUAAUACACCAGGGGGUUGACUCAGCCUGUCAUCCUUCUGAGGUCGGCGAAAUGAGUACCAGUGUACUGGGCCGGUGUAUACCCCAGUUGAAAUAAAUGUACCAUAUCCCUGUGUCGUAAGAGGCGACCAGGGUUGCGUCAGGAAGGGCAUCCGGCAUAAAAAACAUGUGCCAAAUCACUAUGCGGAUCAUAGGGUUGAUCCGCUGUGGCGACCCCUAACGGGAGCAGCCGAAAGAAGAAGAAGAUUCUCACUCUCCCUCCUUGAUUGGGCAGACAAAUCACAUUUCUGUUGUCGUCCUCUGCAAGAGCUGCUGUUUAUGGAACUUCCUCAUAAACUGUCUUGGACAGAUUGUGCCUCCAAAGCUGGCCACCACCUCAAAACAGGACCUUACUCUGCUUUCCUAAGCUUGUAGUAGUAAACAAGGGCUUUUUUACAUUUCCUUUGGAUGUCUCAUGCAUUCAAAUCUGUCUGACGUCCUACUCUGCUUUCCAAGCAGUACCCUGAUCGUUUCUACAGUACAUUGAAUGGCCGGCAGGAUUCCUUGAUACUUGCAACCAGCGGUUUUCUUUGCAACACGUUCUGUACCAUGCUCUAUCUCUUUUGGCUGGUGUUCCUCAACAUAGCAUCCCAGGACCAAUCCUGUUCAUGAACUACAUCAAUGAUCUCUGCUUAACUGGAAGAAUCCAUUCUACCUUCUGCCAGAUGGGUUGCAGCAACACAACUUUACAAAUCUUUGAAAAUAGCAACAGAUCAUCUCCCAGGAACAUAUUAUUUAACACCGGAACAUCCCACUCUUACUUUGUCUCUCCUUAAAGACCAGCUUGAAAAUCCCCAAGUUGUUUUUGUGGUCAUCUUCUGGGAGAGGUCUAAUCCUCAGAGUUCUUGGGCCUCACCAUCAGUUGUAACUUAUCUUCGGUAGAUCCAAUCUCCAAGCUGGCCUCCAUAGCUCCCUACCACCAAAUCUCUGCAAGCCAAGUCUUUCUUCUGCCAAGCUUAGUUUAUGACGCUAUCCAAAGGUUCAUCCAAAGUGCAAUGGGAUAUGGCUCCCCAUUAUGGGCUGGUGCUACUGCCUCCCAUUUUGUCAUUCUCAAGGCCAUGGAAUCCAAGGUCUUCCAUAACAUAUGAAUUUGUUACUGGAGAGUGAGAUUAAGGAUCUACUUUCUAAUCUUAUUCAAGUUGGUGGCUUAGGAUUUGUUUUCAAGCUCUACUCUUAGUCUUCUCCUACCCUCCCAUACCCCUGUUCUUCCAUGUUGUAUGCAUUCUGUAAGAGUUCCUUUUCUUAUUCCCCUCCCUACCUCUCAACUUUAUGCUCACCUCCAUUAUUUCAUACCCCUCUUUUCUCACCUGUGAAAGUGUCUUACCGAGUUAAUUCUCAAGCACUAAUUUCAAGUCUGAUAUACACCACCAUCACAUGGUCUCUCCACUUUGUAUUACUGAAGUUUUCUACACCCAUUGAGACCCUGUUCCAACCCUUGUGCUGCAUUUUCUCUUGUCAUGCUUUGGUGCUUCCAUUUGUUGUCAUUCCACUGUUUUCCCUUUGCGUAUUUUGUCUGUAGAUCAUUUGCCCCCUGUUGUUCUGUUCUCCCAUGAGCCUCACCACCUGUAUUUACAAAAAAAAUAUAAAAAAGUUGUGCUUUCCACCAGCCAGAACGACAAAGCAGAAUGUGCCUUUAAAUUCAUUAUUUUCAUGCAAUGUCCCAUCUGUCCCAUUGAUACAAAGGACCAAACACUUUUAUUUAUUACUUACAAAAUGUAAAGAUUUCGUAAGUAUAUUGAUGACUUCCCUCCUCUGUUUGUGUGUUUGUUUGUUUGUUUGUAGGCACGAUAACUCGAGAACGGAAGAAGCUACCAAUGUCAAAUUGCACCACGUGAUAGCAAGCGCUGAUUAGAUUUUGGUCAAAAUCGGUCAAAGGUCACAGUGAGGUCAAACAUAAUUCCGUAAAUUCAUGUGAAGAAAUGGAGUAUUUUUGCUUCGCUCGAUGUUACGAGUUCGUUUUAAUUGCGAUUUUAAUUUUGUCUUCGGUUUUUGCGAUCGCUUAGGAUGCUUAAAACUCGGUUGUCGAAAUUCUGGUAAAAAUCGGAUGUUUUGGAGACGUUUUAAGAUUGUAUAAAAAAUAUUUCACUUGCGCUUCACGGGUCGUCACGUGAUGCAGUGCGCUCGAGCAGACG